GUUUAAGUUAGUUUUCAAGCCCCUUGAGCAUAUGGGAGAGAGUAUGCAUGAUUGGGAGAGAGUAUGUGAGGUUUGGUUUGUUUUAGUGGUUUUGGCUUAUGUGGGUCAUAAGCUAGUUAUGUAUGUUUCUUGAUGUUGUUUUUGGGAGUUUAAGCUUGUCUAAGCUCCUUUAUGCAUGGUUAAGGAAGUAUGCAUGUGUUUGAGAAGUUGGGUGCUUGUUUUGGGGUGUAUGGAAGGUUUGGGAGGCUUGAAAUGCACAAAGGCUGAGUUCUGGAUGAACUCAGGUUCGGCCGCCGAAGG
Molecule: long non-coding RNA, 300 nt
Filed under: Manihot esculenta (cassava)
Lineage: Eukaryota; Viridiplantae; Streptophyta; Magnoliopsida; Malpighiales; Euphorbiaceae
Description: long non-coding RNA (MESC_LNC008030)
Source: RNAcentral